RNAcentral lists this ribosomal RNA (253 nucleotides) under uncultured bacterium. Its description in RNAcentral is "partial 16S ribosomal RNA". It matches the Rfam family "Bacterial small subunit ribosomal RNA", at positions 524 to 776 of the family's 1533-position model. The record is from RNAcentral.
UACGUAGGGUGCAAGCGUUGUCCGGAAUUAUUGGGCGUAAAGAGCUCGUAGGCGGUCUGUCGCGUCGGCUGUGAAAACCCGAGGCUCAACCUCGGGCCUGCAGUCGAUACGGGCAAACUAGAGUGUUGCAGGGGAGACUGGAAUUCCUGGUGUAGCGGUGAAAUGCGCAGAUAUCAGGAGGAACACCGGUGGCGAAGGCGGGUCUCUGGGCCACACCUGACGCUGAGACGCGAAAGCGUGGGGAGCGAACAGG